Non-coding RNA from Pelobates cultripes (western spadefoot toad), 306 nucleotides. Lineage: Eukaryota; Metazoa; Chordata; Amphibia; Anura; Pelobatidae. The record is from the annotation of a GenBank genome assembly.
GCCACUGAACCUGCAGCGUUAAAGCUUGGCUUUUGCAAGACGGCAUAGAACACGUUGGUGAAUUAUAUAAAACUGCAUAUGAAUGUCUCUUGGCCCCACCAUCUAUGUAAGUGGAGUUCUAUGACUACCUUAUCUCAUGCUAUACUAUGUGUAGUAUGGAUACCUGUACUAUUACUUGACAUUCUUAAGGGACACUAUAAUAGCUAAAACAACUGUAGCUUAAUGAAGCAGUUUUAGUGUGUAGAUAAUGCCCCUGCAGUCUCACUGCUCAAUUCCCUGCCAUUUGAGAGUUAAAUCACUUUGUUU